GACGAACGCUGGCGGCGUGCUUAACACAUGCAAGUCGAACGGAAAGGCCCUGCUUUUGUUGGGUGCUCGAGUGGCGCACGGGUGUGUAACACGUGUGUAACCUGCCCUUGACUUUGGGAUAACUUCAGGAAACUCGGGCUAAUACCGGAUAGGAUCUCCUGCUGCAUGGUGGUGGUUGGUAAGUUUCGGCGGUUGGGGAUGGACUCGCGGCUUAUCCGCUUGUUGGUGGGGUAGUGGCUUACCAAGGCUUUGACGGGUAGCCUGCCUGAGAGGGGUACCGGGGACAAGGGGACUGAGAGACGGACCAGAAUCGAACGGGAGGCAGCAGGGGGGAAGAUUGCAGAAUGGGAGGAAGCCUGAUGCAGAAACGCCGGGAGCGGGAAGACGGGCUUCGGGUGGUAAACAGAUGUAGACGGUGACGAAGCGUGAGUGACGGUAAUGGGUAAAGAAGCACCGGCUAACUACGUG
Molecule: ribosomal RNA, 468 nt
Filed under: uncultured bacterium
Lineage: Bacteria
Description: partial 16S ribosomal RNA
Rfam family: Bacterial small subunit ribosomal RNA
Source: RNAcentral